GACGAACGCUGGCGGCGUGCUUAACACAUGCAAGUCGAACGGAAAGGCCCUGCUUUUGUGGGGUGCUCGAGUGGCGAACGGGUGAGUAACACGUGAGUAACCUGCCCUUGACUUUGGGAUAACUUCAGGAAACUGGGGCUAAUACCGGAUAGGAGCUCCUGCUGCAUGGUGGGGGUUGGAAAGUGUCGGCGGUGGGGGAUGGACUCGCGGCUUAUCAGCUUGUUGGUGGGGUAGUGGCUUACCAAGGCUUUGACGGGUAGCCGGCCUGAGAGCGUGAACGGCGACAUGGGGACUACGAUACGCAGCAGACUGCUAUGGGAGGCAGUAGUGGAGAGUAUUGCGGAGUGAGGGGAAGCCUGAUACGACAACGCUCCGAGCGGAAUGAUGGCCUUCGGGUUGUAAACCGCUGUCGCCUGUGACGAAGCGGGAGUGACGGUAAUGAGUAAAGAAGCACCGGCUAACUACGUG
Molecule: ribosomal RNA, 468 nt
Filed under: uncultured bacterium
Lineage: Bacteria
Description: partial 16S ribosomal RNA
Rfam family: Bacterial small subunit ribosomal RNA
Source: RNAcentral